UAAAGCUCUGUUGUUAAAGAAGAACACGUAUGAGAGUAACUGUUCAUACGUUGACGGUAUUUAACCAGAAAGUCACGGCUAACUACGUGCCAGCAGCCGCGGUAAUACGUAGGUGGCAAGCGUUAUCCGGAUUUAUUGGGCGUAAAGAGAGUGCAGGCGGUUUUCUAAGUCUGAUGUGAAAGCCUUCGGCUUAACCGGAGAAGUGCAUCGGAAACUGGAUAACUUGAGUGCAGAAGAGGGUAGUGGAACUCCAUGUGUAGCGGUGGAAUGCGUAGAUAUAUGGAAGAACACCAGUGGCGAAGGCGGCUACCUGGUCUGCAACUGACGCUGAGACUCGAAAGCAUGGGUAGCGAACAGGAUUAGAUACCCUGGUAGUCCAUGCCGUAAACGAUGAGUGCUAGGUGUUGGAGGGUUUCCGCCCUUCAGUGCCGGAGCUAACGCAUUAAGCACUCCGCCUGG
This 459-nucleotide ribosomal RNA is filed under the name uncultured bacterium. RNAcentral's name for it is "bacterial SSU rRNA". It matches the Rfam family "Bacterial small subunit ribosomal RNA", at positions 426 to 876 of the family's 1533-position model. The record is from RNAcentral.